RNAcentral lists this ribosomal RNA (160 nucleotides) under Lasiodiplodia theobromae. RNAcentral's name for it is "5.8S ribosomal RNA". It matches the Rfam family "5.8S ribosomal RNA". From Rfam's summary of the family: 5.8S ribosomal RNA (5.8S rRNA) is a component of the large subunit of the eukaryotic ribosome. It is transcribed by RNA polymerase I as part of the 45S precursor that also contains 18S and 28S rRNA. Functionally, it is thought that 5.8S rRNA may be involved in ribosome translocation. Lineage: Eukaryota; Fungi; Ascomycota; Dothideomycetes; Botryosphaeriales; Botryosphaeriaceae. RNAcentral also lists the same sequence under 6 other names. The record is from RNAcentral.
AAAACUUUCAACAACGGAUCUCUUGGUUCUGGCAUCGAUGAAGAACGCAGCGAAAUGCGAUAAGUAAUGUGAAUUGCAGAAUUCAGUGAAUCAUCGAAUCUUUGAACGCACAUUGCGCCCCUUGGUAUUCCGGGGGGCAUGCCUGUUCGAGCGUCAUUAC